AUCGCUUCUCAGCCUUUUGGCUAAGAUCAAGUGUAGAUGUUUCUGAUAUGUUUAGCAGUAUUUGCUAUUUAAGUAUAUUAAUUUCAUUUGCUCUUAGAAAAACUGUUUUGUCUUUAGUUUCUGAUAGCACUGAUUGAAAAUUUUUGCUUUCUAUGCACUAGGUAUAACUCGGAAAAAUCCNN
This 182-nucleotide small nuclear RNA is filed under the name Capra hircus (goat). RNAcentral describes it as "U2 spliceosomal RNA (ENSCHIG00010018513.1)". It matches the Rfam family "U2 spliceosomal RNA". From Rfam's summary of the family: U2 is a small nuclear RNA (snRNA) component of the spliceosome (involved in pre-mRNA splicing). Complementary binding between U2 snRNA (in an area lying towards the 5' end but 3' to hairpin I) and the branchpoint sequence (BPS) of the intron results the bulging out of an unpaired adenosine, on the BPS, which initiates a nucleophilic attack at the intronic 5' splice site, thus starting the first of two transesterification reactions that mediate splicing. The record is from RNAcentral. Lineage: Eukaryota; Metazoa; Chordata; Mammalia; Artiodactyla; Bovidae.